Molecule: ribosomal RNA, 932 nt
Filed under: Typhluloma sp. COL1288
Lineage: Eukaryota; Metazoa; Arthropoda; Insecta; Coleoptera; Tenebrionidae
Description: SSU rRNA
Rfam family: Eukaryotic small subunit ribosomal RNA
Source: RNAcentral
CAGUACAANGUCCGCAAUUAAGGUGAACCGCGRAAGGCUCAUUAAAUCAGUUAUGGUUCCUUAGAUCGUACCCACAUUUACUUGGAUACUGUGGUAAUUCUAGAGCUAAUACAUGCAAACAGAGCUCCAACCGGAAACGGAAGGAGCGCUUUUAUUAGAUCAAAACCAAUCGGUGGCGGUUUCCGUCAUCGUACAACUUGGUGACUCUGAAUAACUUUAAGCUGAUCGCACGGUCUCGCACCGGCGACGCAUCUUUCAAAUGUCUGCCUUAUCAACUGUCGAUGGUAGGUUCUGCGCCUACCAUGGUUGUAACGGGUAACGGGGAAUCAGGGUUCGAUUCCGGAGAGGGAGCCUGAGAAACGGCUACCACAUCCAAGGAAGGCAGCAGGCGCGCAAAUUACCCACUCCCGGCACGGGGAGGUAGUGACGAAAAAUAACGAUACGGGACUCAUCCGAGGCCCCGUAAUCGGAAUGAGUACACUCUAAACCCUUUAACGAGGAUCAAUUGGAGGGCAAGUCUGGUGCCAGCAGCCGCGGUAAUUCCAGCUCCAAUAGCGUAUAUUAAAGUUGUUGCGGUUAAAAAGCUCGUAGUCGAAUCUGUGUCCCGCGCCGCCGGUUCAUCGUUCGCGGUGUUAACUGGCGUGCCGCGGGACGUCCUGCCGGUGGGCUUAGCUCGAGAGGGCGGCCCAACUCAAUCCCGCCGCGGUGCUCUUCAUUGAGUGUCGAGGUGGGCCGGCACGUUUACUUUGAACAAAUUAGAGUGCUUAAAGCAGGCUAAAACUUCGCCUGAAUACUGUGUCGCUCUCAUCNNNNNNNNUAAUAGAUGGAAUUAGGACCUCGGUUCUAUUUUGUUGGUUUUGGCCUNNNNNNNNGAGUAAUGAUUCACAUACGGAACGGAUGAGGGGCGGAUUCGUAUUGCGACGUUUGACAAC